AAUUCAAGGUUCUCGGAAUAGUGG
This 24-nucleotide non-coding RNA is filed under the name Gossypium hirsutum (cotton). The record is from RNAcentral. Lineage: Eukaryota; Viridiplantae; Streptophyta; Magnoliopsida; Malvales; Malvaceae.